Molecule: ribosomal RNA, 834 nt
Filed under: uncultured bacterium
Lineage: Bacteria
Description: bacterial SSU rRNA
Rfam family: Bacterial small subunit ribosomal RNA
Source: RNAcentral
CGAACCUUCGGGUUAGUGGCGGACGGGUGAGUAACGCGUGAGAAUCUGCCCUCAGGAGGGGGAUAACAGUUGGAAACGACUGCUAAUACCCCAUAUGCCGAAAGGUAAAACUAAUUUCGCCUGGGGAUGAGCUCGCGUCUGAUUAGCUUGUUGGUGGGGUAACGGCCUACCAAGGCUUCGAUCAGUAGCUGGUCUGAGAGGACGAUCAGCCACACUGGGACUGAGACACGGCCCACACUCCUACGGGAGGCAGCAGUGGGGAAUUUUCCGCAGUGGGCGCAAGCCUGACGGAGCAACGCCGCGUGAGGGAUGAAGGCCUUUGGGCUGUAAACCUCUUUUCUCAAGGAAGAAGAUCUGACGGUACUUGAGGAAUAAGCCACGGCUAAUUCCGUGCCAGCAGCCGCGGUAAUACGGGAGUGGCAAGCGUUAUCCGGAAUUAUUGGGCGUAAAGCGUCCACAGGCGGCCGUUUAAGUCUGUUGUUAAAUCGUAGAGCUCAACUCUAUCACGGCAAUGGAAACUGUUCGGCUUGAGUAUGGUAGGGGCAGAGGGAAUUUCCGGUGUAGCGGUGAAAUGCGUAGAUAUCGGGAAGAACACCAGUGGCAAAAGCGCUCUGCUGGGCCAUUACUGACGCUCAUGGACGAAAGCCAGGGGAGCGAAAGGGAUUAGAUACCCCUGUAGUCCUGGCCGUAAACGAUGAACACUAGAUGUUGGGGGAAUCGACCCCUUCGGUGUCGUAGCUAACGCGUUAAGUGUUCCGCCUGGGGAGUACGCACGCAAGUGUGAAACUCAAAGGAAUUGACGGGGGCCCGCACAAGCGGUGGAGUAUGUGGUUU